UCAGAUUAUUGACUAAUCGCGUGUAUAAAAGCACGAGGAAAGUCCGGGCAGCAAAGGGAAAUGGUAGUCGCUAACGGCGACCGGGGGUAACCCUAGGGAAAGUGCCACAGAAACGAAACCGCCAAGUUUACUUGGUAAGGGUGAAACGAGCGAGGUAAGAGCUCACAGUUUCUAUCGGUGACGAUGGAAAAUGGUAAACCCUACCUGCUGCAAGGAGAUGGAUUUCCUUAAGCCUAAAGCUUAGGAGUGUCCCGCUAUAAAUUCAUCAUUGAACCGCUCGAGCCGCCGAGUAAUCGUCGGCCUAGAUAGAUGAUUAGUCUAGACAGAACCCGGCUUACAGAUAGUCUGACCAA
This 353-nucleotide RNase P RNA is filed under the name bacterium. Its description in RNAcentral is "RNase P RNA component class A". It matches the Rfam family "Bacterial RNase P class A". From Rfam's summary of the family: Ribonuclease P (RNase P) is a ubiquitous endoribonuclease, found in archaea, bacteria and eukarya as well as chloroplasts and mitochondria. Its best characterised activity is the generation of mature 5'-ends of tRNAs by cleaving the 5'-leader elements of precursor-tRNAs. The record is from RNAcentral.